This 401-nucleotide ribosomal RNA is filed under the name uncultured bacterium. RNAcentral's name for it is "bacterial SSU rRNA". It matches the Rfam family "Bacterial small subunit ribosomal RNA", at positions 355 to 774 of the family's 1533-position model. The record is from RNAcentral.
UGGGGAAUAUUGCACAAUGGGCGCAAGCCUGAUGCAGCAACGCCGCGUGAGUGAUGAAGGCCUUCGGGUCGUAAAACUCUGUCCUAAGGGAAGAUAAUGACGGUACCUUAGGAGGAAGCCCCGGCUAACUACGUGCCAGCAGCCGCGGUAAUACGUAGGGGGCAAGCGUUAUCCGGAAUUACUGGGCGUAAAGGGUGCGUAGGUGGCCUGACAAGUCAGGGGUCAAAGGCAACGGCUCAACCGUUGUAAGCCCUUGAAACUGUCGGGCUUGAGUUCAGGAGAGGAAAGCGGAAUUCCUAGUGUAGCGGUGAAAUGCGUAGAUAUUAGGAGGAACACCAGUGGCGAAGGCGGCUUUCUGGACUGAUACUGACACUGAGGCACGAAAGCGUGGGGAGCAAACA